GAAGCGAAGGGGCUGUGAGCGGGGCAGCGGGGACAUGCGACCCCGGUGGGGGACAGUAAACGGGCGCGAAGCAGAAGAGAAAAGCAUCGGCGGGACCCGGGCCUCCGGUAACGGCCCGGCCUGAUGGCUACUCGCAGCGGCGCGGGCCGCCUCUCCGGUGCCUGGCGUUUUGCACUUCAUGUGAAACAAUACUUGGCUUUAGAAGAGCUGUUCAGCGCCAAUGCGUUUCACAGGCAUAGGAGUUGUUCCGGAAAGCAAGGUAUGGUAUCCCCACCUGAUGGAUUCCUGUACAGUCAGCGGUGGAUACCAAUACAGUCAGCUGCCCACCAGGCAUCAGGACCAGCUUAACGCCACGCUGAAAGUCACGGUCUGUGCUUCUAGGUGGACCUCAUUAAUUUGCAUUAAGAUCUGCGGUAAAGCAUCAAAACAGCAUUUAAACAAAGCUAUAUGGUGCAAAUCAUCCAGCUUGGAGUGUGGGUGGAGCAGGCUGUAUUCAUGUCUUAAGAGUGGGAGGACUGUGUCAUUCCACCCCGAAGUAGGUAAAGGCACGGGAUUGGCUGAACUGGUGUCCAUAAAAAGGCUGUACCUUUGGAAACUUGACAUACAGCUGUGGAGUUUAUCACAUAUUUACACAUAUUUGCUGUGCAGGUCUGUGGAAAUGCACACAAAUAACUGA
RNAcentral lists this long non-coding RNA (676 nucleotides) under Apteryx haastii (Great spotted kiwi). RNAcentral describes it as "lncRNA (ENSAHAG00000013311.1)". The record is from RNAcentral. Lineage: Eukaryota; Metazoa; Chordata; Aves; Apterygiformes; Apterygidae.